CACAAUGGGCGCAAGCCUGGAUGCAGCCAUGCCGCGUGUAUGAAGAAGGCCUUCGGGUUGUAAAGGUACUUUCAGCAGUGAGGAAGGUGGGUAUGUUAAUAGCAUAUUCAUUUGACGUUAGCUGCAGAAGAAGCACCGGCUAACUCCGUGCCAGCAGCCGCGGUAAUACGGAGGGUGCGAGCGUUAAUCGGAAUUACUGGGCGUAAAGCGCAUGCAGGUGGUUUGUUAAGUCAGAUGUGAAAGCCCGGGGCUCAACCUCGGAAUUGCAUUUGAAACUGGCAAACUAGAGUACUGUAGAGGGGGUAGAAUUUCAGGUGUAGCGGUGAAAUGCGUAGAGAUCUGAAGGAAUACCGGUGGCGAAGGCGGCCCCCUGGACAGAUACUGACACUCAGAUGCGAAAGCGUGGGGAGCAAACAGGAUUAGAUACCCUGGUAG
This 435-nucleotide ribosomal RNA is filed under the name uncultured bacterium. Its description in RNAcentral is "bacterial SSU rRNA". It matches the Rfam family "Bacterial small subunit ribosomal RNA", at positions 367 to 793 of the family's 1533-position model. The record is from RNAcentral.